UCUACAAUUAAAACCUUACUAAUGUUCACGAACCCAUAAAGGCAGACGUUCACAUGGUUUGAAUUGUACCACGAACAUGCAAGUUUUUUCGUAAUGUACGAUUUACAGGUAAAUAAAAAACUUUGACGUUAACAGUAUCUUAUUUGAAACUCAAUGGCGUAAAAAAUUUAACUAGCGAGUGCUCCAGAUUUGAUUUAACAAUGCAAGUAGCUGAAACAAAACAACUACUUAAUUAUUUUACAUCUUUAACACUGGAUUUGGCACACAGUUAUA
Molecule: long non-coding RNA, 273 nt
Filed under: Mytilus galloprovincialis (Mediterranean mussel)
Lineage: Eukaryota; Metazoa; Mollusca; Bivalvia; Mytilida; Mytilidae
Source: RNAcentral